GCCAGCAUAGCUUAGUGGUUUGAAUGUUGAACUAGGACUCUGGAGACUAGGGUUUGAAUCCCUGCUUAGCCA
Phrynosoma platyrhinos (Desert horned lizard) is the source of this 72-nucleotide non-coding RNA. NCBI's taxonomy places the organism in Eukaryota, Metazoa, Chordata, Lepidosauria, Squamata, Phrynosomatidae. The record is from the annotation of a GenBank genome assembly.